GACAGAGGUGCCGAGCGUUAGGCGGAAUCACUGGGCUUAAAGCGUGUGUAGGCGGAUCGUUAAGUGCCUUGUGAAAUCCCACGGCUCAACCGUGGAACGGCUGGGUAUACUGCCUGUCUUGAGCCAGCUAGGGGCGACCGGAACAGACGGUGGAGCGGUGAAAUGCGUAGAUAUCGUCUGGAACGCCAAAGGUGAAAACAGGUCGCUGGGGCUGAGCUGACGCUGAGACACGAAAGCCAGGGGAGCGAACGGG
Molecule: ribosomal RNA, 253 nt
Filed under: uncultured bacterium
Lineage: Bacteria
Description: partial 16S ribosomal RNA
Rfam family: Bacterial small subunit ribosomal RNA
Source: RNAcentral